AGUGAACGCUGGCGGUAGGCCUAACACAUGCAAGUCGAACGGCAGCACAGUAAGAUCUUGCUCUUACGGGUGGCGAGUGGCGGACGGGUGAGGAAUACAUCGGAAUCUACUUUUUCGUGGGGGAUAACGUAGGGAAACUUACGCUAAUACCGCAUACGACCUACGGGUGAAAGCAGUGGAUCUUCGGACCUUGCGCGAUUGAAUGAGCCGAUGUCGGAUUAGCUAGUUGGCGGGGUAAAGGCCCACCAUGGCGACGAUCCGUAGCUGGUCUGAGAGGAUGAUCAGCCACACUGGAACUGAGACACGGUCCAGACGACUACGAGAGGCAGCAGUGGGGAAUAUUAGACAAUGGGCGCGAGCAUGAUCCAGCCAUACCACGUGGGUGAAGAAGGCCUUCGGGUUGUAAAGCCCUUUUGUUGGGAAAGAAAAGCAGCAGGUUAAUACCCCGCGGUUCUGACGGUACCCAAAGAAUAAGCACCGGCUAACUUCGUG
Molecule: ribosomal RNA, 492 nt
Filed under: uncultured bacterium
Lineage: Bacteria
Description: partial 16S ribosomal RNA
Rfam family: Bacterial small subunit ribosomal RNA
Source: RNAcentral